AACCAAGGGCCUGAAGUGCUUGAGACAUCCGGGGAGGGGGAACGGAGGAACUUGCUUCGGCAACUUCCUUGUCUGUCCUUGCUAUUGUAGCUUAGCCUCCUCAGUUCUCUUGCACACGAUCGACACUCGAGAGGCAGAGCCUCAAGAAGUCACGCCGCAGCCGCACUAGUCCGCUUCUCCUCUGCUCUUCGAGCGGGGUCUGAGUCGCGGGCACCGCGUGUUUGCAGCGCGGCUAUUGCCAUUUUUAAUGGAUGAGGCAGAAGCGCCCUGUCGACAGGUACCAAGAUAAAGUAGGAUGCACGGUCUAGAAUUCUUAGAACCUCUUCGGGGGCUCUAAUUGAGUUCGGCCGUCUUUGUUGUCGUUCUACCGCAGUAUAUUCCUAGACUCUGUGUAGGUCCUAUGGGCCAGUUGUCACUUGGGUAAAACCAUACUGCAGACAUUU
This 443-nucleotide small nucleolar RNA is filed under the name Eremothecium gossypii ATCC 10895. RNAcentral's name for it is "Ashbya gossypii ATCC 10895 Small nucleolar RNA snR30". It matches the Rfam family "Small nucleolar RNA snR30". Lineage: Eukaryota; Fungi; Ascomycota; Saccharomycetes; Saccharomycetales; Saccharomycetaceae. The record is from Rfam by way of RNAcentral.